AGCGGGGUAGGGAAGCUUGGAGUUCCCGCUGGGCUCAUAACCCAGAGAUCGGUGGUUCAAAUCCACUCCCCGCUA
Molecule: transfer RNA, 75 nt
Filed under: Microcaldota archaeon
Lineage: Archaea; Nanobdellati; Microcaldota
Also listed under: 2 other names
Description: tRNA-Met
Rfam family: tRNA
About the family: Transfer RNA (tRNA) molecules are approximately 80 nucleotides in length.
Source: RNAcentral